Molecule: ribosomal RNA, 537 nt
Filed under: uncultured bacterium
Lineage: Bacteria
Description: bacterial SSU rRNA
Rfam family: Bacterial small subunit ribosomal RNA
Source: RNAcentral
UUAGGAAAUUUUCCCAAUGGGCGCAAGCCUGAGGGAGUAACGCCGCGUGGAGGAUGACGGCUUUCGGGUUGUAAACUCCUUUUCUGCGGGAAGAGUAGAAGACGGUACCGCAGGAAGAAGCCUCGGCUAACUACGUGCCAGCAGCCGCGGUAAUACGUAGGAGGCGAGCGUUGUCCGGAAUUACUGGGCGUAAAGAGCGCGUAGGCGGCGCUGUACGAUCGGUGUGAAAGCCCCCGGGCUCAACUGGGGAGGGUCACGGAUAACGGCAGUGCUACAAGAGUGCAGGAGAGGGACGUGGAACUCCGGGAGUAGCGGUGAAAUGCGUAGAGACCCGGAGGAACACCAGUGGCGAAGGCGGCGUCCUGGCCUGCGACUGACGCUGUGGCGCGAAAGCUAGGGGAGCGAACGGGAUUAGAUACCCCGGUAGUCCUAGCCGUAAACGAUGGACACUAGGUGUGCGAGGUAUCGACCCCUCGCGUGCCGGCGCUAACGCAGUAAGUGUCCCGCCUGGGGAGUACGGCCGCAAGGCUAAAACUC